This 498-nucleotide ribosomal RNA is filed under the name uncultured bacterium. Its description in RNAcentral is "partial 16S ribosomal RNA". It matches the Rfam family "Bacterial small subunit ribosomal RNA", at positions 28 to 506 of the family's 1533-position model. The record is from RNAcentral.
GAUGAACGCUGGCGGCGUGCCUAAUACAUGCAAGUCGAGCGAACAGACGAGAGUGCUUGCACUCUCUGACGUUAGCGGCGGACGGGUGAGUAACACGUGGGUAACCUACCUAUAAGACUGGGAUAACUUCGGGAAACCGGAGCUAAUACCGGAUAAUAUUUAGCUUCGCAUGAAGCAAUAGUGAAAGACGGUUCUGCUGUCACUUAUAGAUGGACCCGCGGUGUAUUAGCUAGUUGGUGAGGUAACGGCUCACCAAGGCAACGAUACAUAGCCGACCUGAGGGGGUGGACCGCCCACCCUGGGCUGAGGCCCCGCCCCAGCUCCCUCCGGAGGCCGGCAGUGGGGAACCUUCGGCAAUGGCGGAAGUCCUGACGGGGCAUUGCGCCGUGAGUGAGGAAGGUUUUCGGUCCGAAAACUCUGUUGUAAGGGAAGAACAAGUACGUUAGUAACUGAACGUACCUUGACGGUACCUUACCAGAAAGCCACGGCUAACUACGU